GACAUUUUGCAAUGGAAAGUAAACAAAAGGAACAUUAAAAAUAAUCAAAUUGAAGUACUUAUAAUGAAUUUACCCAACACAAUCUAUCCUCGUUAGUCAUAAUAAGGAACAAAGCCUGCAUAGAAGCACUUUGAAGCUCCAUGCACGCCUUAAGACGAACAACGUGAUCUAGACCUUCCAUUCCAAUCAAAAUCGCACUACACUCGUUGAUUUUGAUUUCGAUCUCAACUGUCCGCUCGUUUCUCCUCGCACUCAUCCUGGCCAAUGAUCUUUCCAACGCCUCAAAUAACACAUCGUCAAUAUCAUCAUCAUCACUGUCACUCCACUCACUCCUGUGUGGUGUAGCUUUACAAUCUUUGCUCUCGUCAAUAUCAUCAUCAUCACUGUCACUCCACUCACUCCUGUGUGGUGUAGCUUUACAAUCUUUGCUCUCCUAUGUAACAUAAUUCGAAAUAAUCAAUCUAAACCAUUAUAAUUGUGCCUCUCUCUCUCUCACGCCCAUGUUACGAUUAUAAUUAUUUAGUUUAUUAGUUAAUUAUUGAUUUAGUUAUAUUUAAUUAUUAAUUAAUUAGAAUAGUUUGUUUAGGUUUAUAUAUGUCCGUGAGUUAGUGGUUAAGAGGAUUAUUAAGUAUUUUAUUAAGUAUCUUUCCUAGUUAGAUUAGGAUUCUUAUAUUUAAAUAGUCGUCUUGGGCUAGGGUUUUAGAAUGCAGAGAGAAAUAAUAAAGAAAAGUUUUCUUACGUUAUAGUAAAGAAAUCUUAUGAUACACA
This 768-nucleotide long non-coding RNA is filed under the name Erythranthe guttata (spotted monkey flower). RNAcentral describes it as "long non-coding RNA (EGUT_LNC002888)". Lineage: Eukaryota; Viridiplantae; Streptophyta; Magnoliopsida; Lamiales; Phrymaceae. The record is from RNAcentral.